RNAcentral lists this ribosomal RNA (453 nucleotides) under uncultured bacterium. Its description in RNAcentral is "bacterial SSU rRNA". It matches the Rfam family "Bacterial small subunit ribosomal RNA", at positions 28 to 507 of the family's 1533-position model. The record is from RNAcentral.
GAUGAACGCUGGCGGCGUGCCUAACACAUGCAAGUCGAGCGAUUCUCUUCGGAGAAGAGCGGCGGACGGGUGAGUAACGCGUGGGUAACCUGCCCUGUACACACGGGAUAACAUACCGAAAGGUAUGCUAAUACGAGAUGAUAUGCUUUUAUCGCAUGGUAGAAGUAUCAAAGCUUUUGCGGUACAGGAUGGACCCGCGUCUGAUUAGCUAGUUGGUAAGGUAACGGCUUACCAAGGCGACGAUCAGUAGCCGACCUGAGAGGGUGAUCGGCCACAUUGGAACUGAGACACGGUCCAAACUCCUACGGGAGGCAGCAGUGGGGAAUAUUGCACAAUGGGCGAAAGCCUGAUGCAGCAACGCCGCGUGAGCGAUGAAGGCCUUCGGGUCGUAAAGCUCUGUCCUCAAGGAAGAUAAUGACGGUACUUGAGGAGGAAGCCCCGGCUAACUACGUG